RNAcentral lists this transfer RNA (74 nucleotides) under bacterium F16. It matches the Rfam family "tRNA". Rfam says of the family: Transfer RNA (tRNA) molecules are approximately 80 nucleotides in length. Their secondary structure includes four short double-helical elements and three loops (D, anti-codon, and T loops). Further hydrogen bonds mediate the characteristic L-shaped molecular structure. tRNAs have two regions of fundamental functional importance: the anti-codon, which is responsible for specific mRNA codon recognition, and the 3' end, to which the tRNAs corresponding amino acid is attached (by aminoacyl-tRNA synthetases). tRNAs cope with the degeneracy of the genetic code in two manners: having more than one tRNA (with a specific anti-codon) for a particular amino acid; and 'wobble' base-pairing, i.e. permitting non-standard base-pairing at the 3rd anti-codon position. The record is from Rfam by way of RNAcentral.
GGGGCCAUAGCUCAGUUGGCUAGAGCACCUGCUUUGCAAGCAGGACGUCGAGGGUUCGAGUCCCUCUGGCUCCA